GAUUUUGGUGUUUAUGUCAUUUGAGUUCUUGGCAAUCGGAAUUUUAGCAAAUUUUGUAGAAUCUGUUAAAUUGAAUCUUGAGCUAGAUUUAUUAAUAAUUAGAUGAAAUCCCAACAUAAUUUUGAUUUGGGAAAUCAGAAUUUUGCUAGAAGUUGUGGAUUCAGUCACAAAUUUGGAAUUUGGCUCUUUUUUCAUAUGAUUUUCACUGUGUUUGCAGCUUUGUUUUGACUUUCUUGGAUUGCCCUUUUGAUUGUUUGGUAGGCAAGACUAUGAUGCCGAAGACGGCGAAUGAAAUGAAACUGAUGAGUUUUGGCAAGAUUUUGGAUAACAAGAAGACAGUGGGUCAGUGUAAAUUACCUUUGGUUGAUAUUGGUGGGGGAAUUAUCAUGAUGCGUGUCGUUGGACAUCCAGCUAUGGAAAAAGCUAACACAGUGGAGCACGGGCACCCUUUCCUUUCCUUUCAGUUCGAUUGAACAAUUAGUUCGCAACAUGCUGUCGUGCUUUGUCUAUCCUCUGGUAUGAAGCUGAAAAUUGCCGUGUCUUUAUCCCCUUGAUUCACCCACCAGCUGAAGCCAUUCAAGUCAAACUGUCUGUAUUAAUUUUUUAAAAUUUCAGCAUAAAUCAAUUGAAAUGAACUACAAUUUGAUGAUUGAAUGCAGGGAAAAUGCAGUGGAGAGCCUUUUCUCGCUCUCAAAUCCAACGAAUCGUGCUGGACCACCAGUCCAUCCGCACCACCAACGUUCCUCCGCUUUACUAAAGAUUGAAGCCCUGCGGACCGGAUUGGAGUGGCCUAUGCCAGCAUGGAGAUUGUUUCUUUGCUCAUUAGAGGCUGGCCAUUAUUGACCCUGCUUCUGGUGAUCAAUGUAACAUCUCACAUUGUUCAGGGGAGUGGAUCCUGUAAGCCUUAUAUGUUCGGAUUCCGUAGGAACUCCGAAGUUAAGCGAGAAAUGUGCUAGAGCAUUCCCAGGAUGGGUGACCCACUGGGAAGUUCUCGUGUGAGUUCCCAGAAACAAAACCGUGAUGGCGUGGUCAGGGCCCAAAACAGACAAUAUCGUGCUACGGCGGAGUCAAGCCUGGGAAGUGGUCCCGCCCAGUCUGGGAUGUGACAAUUUGAUAUCAGAGCCAACCCUGGCGGGAUGUGUGCCGACGAGGACGUCGGGCCCCUAAGGGGGUGGAUUAUAACAUCCCACAUCGCCUAGGGGAGUGGAUCCUGUAAGCCUUAUAUAUAUAUUCCCAUCUCUACCUUGCACAAGGCUUUUUGGGAGUUCAUUGGCUUCAGAUUCCGUAGGAACUCUGAAGUUAAGCGAGAAAUGGGCUAGAGCAUUCACAGGAUGGGUGACACACUGGGAAGUUCUUAUGUGAGUUCCCAGAAACAAAACCAUGAGGGCGUGGUCGGGGCCCAAAGCGGACAAUAUCGUGCUACGGCGGAGUCGAGCCUGGGAAUUGGUCCCUCCCGGGCUGGGAUGUGACAAUCAACCUCUCUACAGUGAAGAAAUCAAUUGUUGUCGGGGUAGGGUUGCGUCAUAUAUUUUUAAAUUUUGUGUGGUUUAAUUUAUUGAAUAUUUGAAAAAAUAGAUAAAUUUUCAAUUUUCAAUUACUGAUACGAUGCAUAUGUUGAUUGGUGACUUUGUUGGAUUCACUCAGCUCAAAUAUAUGUUAUCUGAAUUGCUACAUUUGAGAAUGUGAUUAUGUUCCUACCACCAUUUUGCCCAUUUUCUGUGGGAAUUAUUCAUUCUCACAACAGAUGCUUUCAACCCCCGUAGCGAAGUGCGAGCACAUUUUCUAGUUAAACAUACACAAUGCUCAAAAUUUAGUCAAAAAAUUUCACUUUCUUCUUUUUAUCAAUUUUCUUAGUAGUAAAUUAUAGCAAUGAUCUUUUAACUUUAAUUCAAUUCGAGCAA
This is a non-coding RNA of Malus domestica (apple), 1901 nucleotides long. NCBI's taxonomy places the organism in Eukaryota, Viridiplantae, Streptophyta, Magnoliopsida, Rosales, Rosaceae. The record is from RefSeq and is a predicted model, not a curated record.